Chlorocebus sabaeus (green monkey) is the source of this 3463-nucleotide non-coding RNA. The record is from RefSeq and is a predicted model, not a curated record. Lineage: Eukaryota; Metazoa; Chordata; Mammalia; Primates; Cercopithecidae.
CUGGUUACAAGUUCCUGGGUGAAACAAACUGCGUGAUCUAGAACUUGUCGCUUAACAUGUCCGAGUUUUGAUUUGCACAAAUGUAAAAAGGAAUAUGGAAAUAAGUCUAUGUCAAUCCAGGGUUGAAGAUUCAAUCAUUAUAUGUAUAAAAGUGUCCGACAAUAGCUGGCUGAUUGGGUUGAAUCCUAGCUCUGUUGCUUUUAACUGUGUGACCUUGGUUAAAUUGCUCAACCACGUUGUAUUUUAAUUUCCUUAUUUGAGAGUAGGAAUGAACGGUAUUUACUUUAUAGUGUUUUGUUGGGGCUAAUAUGAGUUAAAAGAGAACACUGGAAAACAACAAUACCUCUGGUUUCUUAGAUUUUUGCAAGGAUCGCAGCUGAAAAAACAUCAAAGAAAUGAAGGAUUCUGGAAGCUCUGGUAAAAACAUAAAGGAUUCUUCGAGGCUUCUUUUCUCUUGUGAGUUCGGACAGUGCCAUUUUGACUGAGUGCGGGAGCCCUUGUCAGCUGUCCUGGGAGGGUUAACUCACACCUAGGCGGGAACCUAAUGCCAUUAAGUCAGGGAGAGUAAUGAAAUUUCAUUUAAUUUGUCAGGAAGAAAGUGCUAAUGUUAAAAGGCAUUUAAUAAAAAAGGGAGAGAUUCUUUGAAAGGGAGUCCUUAAGUAAUUACUUCAAGUGUCUUAUGCCUACUCACCAGAAUAUUUACAUUAGUGUCUUAGGGUGCCAGUGUGUAAUUAAAUUAGUGCAGCAUUUACAGUCCCUGUUUUUUUUUUUUUUUUCUUUUAAGGAAAUGUGCUUUUAUUAAUAUUCCUCCUUUAAAAAAGAGAGAAAAAAUAACGAUGUAAUCAAAUCAAAUGUUAGCAUACUUUUGUUUGUGAAAAUUUCUUACUAAGAGAAUUGUUGAGUUAAAGUUGCAGGUGUGUGCAAGUGUUGGGAAGAAGCGCUGAUUCCAGGCAGAGUGGCUGUGCUCCCUCCUCAUCUCCACUCACAGAAAUGCUAUCUUUUAUCUACUCGGACCUGACAUGGAGAUUCAGGUCAGCAGCCAGAGACUGUCAGCAUAUUGCAGUGGAUACCCCUGCCUAGUCCGGAUUCUCUUUGCAACUUGUCUGCAAGGCAAGGAGGGAUACAGAUGUGCGAGUGAGGGGAAGUCCGCAGGAAGCCGGGUGAGGCAGGCUCAUCCCUCAUCACUCCGUGCGCACAGAGCAGCUCAGGCUCUCACCGGCAAUAGCAAGAGGAGUUAACUAACGUGCUGGGAGUGGGGGACGGCCCAUGGGACACGACUGAAUGCAUUUGUACCUCUACAGGCAAGUCACAUUGAGGAAAAUGAUUCUUAAACAUUUCUUUGGAAGUAACUGCUGCUGUUUUCCAGAUUAAUUUAUGGACAUCCUAGUGAAUGAGUCUGUGCACUGAUAUCACACAAAUGUUUUCCUUUUAUCAGGUCUGUCUUCCAAGGGGUGUGGGCAAGAGCAUAGGCUGCUGAUUGGAGACAAAAUAAAUAAGUCCUCAACUGUAGGGUGAAUAAAGAAGGUGUAUUAUACUCCCUCUACAAGCAAGAAUCCUGAUGUCUAGAGAGGGCGUUUUAAAGAUAAAUGGUAAAACUGAACUGGAAAUCCAUCUGGCCGGCUGCCUGCUCUAAUGAAUAACCCCACUUUGGCUCGUGCAAUGACUUCUUCCCUUUGGAAAGCAGUGUGGUGGCAGUGUCAAGAAUGCCUGUGUGUUUGCAGCAGGUUCCUUCCAGAAGCAGCUGGAAGUGCCACCUCCAGGCCAUCUGGCCAGUGUGAGGAAAAGAGGCUGCAAGGGCUUGGCAAGAAACAACUUUCUGCUCCUCUGGUAUCCCCUGAUAACUGAUUUCAAGUUAUAACCAAGGACUUCCUUAUCGCUAUCAGUGGCUGUCAAAAAUUUAUAAGCAUAUUCAUUUCCCUAUUCAACUUAAUUGGUAUUUUGGAUUUGACACUAGAAAAGCAAGUUUGACUUGCCUGUUGGAGUCCAAGGAUAUCUCCAACAGAAUUCUAGACAAUGAAAGAAAGGUUCCCUUAUCUCUAAAAUGGAGCUAAUAUCAAAGUUUUUGAAACCAUGAAAAGAAUUAAUGCACAUUAAGUCCUUAAGAGAGUUCCUGAUGUAAAUUGUGGACCUGGGGUGACAACGGUGUGUCAAUGGUUAGGUUCAUGGAAGGAAUUUUUUUUCCUGAUGGUCGUGAGAACGCUGUCAAGAUUUUGUUGCUCAAAUAUGAUCAGAACAUGCAUUUGUCGUUUGCACACUUUUUCUUGGAAGGAAAUGGAGAGGAACUGUAAACAUGGAGAAACGCAGAAAACUCCAAAUGCUGGAGUUGGAGUUGGCUUAUAUAGGAAAGCCUCUGCAUAUUGAAACAAAUCAGGGAGACUGGGUCAGGCCAUGCAAGAGAGCACAGCACAUUCUCAUCUUUUACUUCUUCUGAAAUUGGAAGUACAGGAUUCUGAAAUGCUGGUAGAUUAAACGAGAACAACAAGCAUCUUAUUGCCUCAAGGAACUUAAUGUUUUGCAGCCACAGGGCAGGAUUCCGAUAUCAUACUUUAUUAUCACAAACUAAAGUCAAGAAAGAAAGAAGUUUUGAGAAUGCCUGGAUUGGUAUGUUUUCAAUAAAUAAUACAACUCUUACUGUGUGAAAUGAAAGGCAGAUCGUGGGAAAAUGUAUGAUUCUAUUUAUAGUCAAAUUUAAAUUAUCUGAUUAUAGGACAAAAUUAGGAGAGACUUUAAACCUGCCCUUUUAGUGCCUAAUUUGCCACUAAAAAUAGUAAAACUACUCACAUUUGAUAAGCAAUCUGUCUUGUUAUUUGUUGUCCUAUGAACUAUGAAAAAGAACUAAGAAAAAUUCCCUUCCUUCUUUUUUCUUUUCAUAAAACUCAAUCCAAGGCCUGCAUAUUAUAUUCACAUUUUUCUUGUGUGCUUCCUUUUGUAUGUUUUGGCCACACUGGUGGAAUUUUCUAUGAUAAGAGGACCACCAAUCCAGUAUGCGUGGUGUGGGGUUGGCCCAUUGAGUGGGCCUCACUGGGCCUCCGGGGAAGAGGGCCAGGAAUUCACAGGGCUUGAUUACCACCAGGACUUUUUCUGCUUUUAAGUUAACUAUGUUCUUCCUGGUAAAUCAACGCCUCGACUUUGGAGAUUUAACAUCAGCUCUGUGAUUGAGCAGAAACUCUGAAAAGAAGAUGUCCCAGCAAUGCCUACCUGAACUUUCCCCAAGCUUGUUAUAAGGAAAAUAAGAAGGUGUCCCGAGAAAGGGAGUCAUUGGAUGUGGAACCACCAGGGGGACUUAAAUAUUAUUAAACCAGCUUCCAUGGUGACAUAUGUAAACAAAAGUAAAAGCAUCUUUAUACAUACAAGAUAAACAUCAUUUAGCUUUUCAUUGUGUGUCCCUAACACUUGCAUCUGCCUGCUGUGCAUAUUUUCUUUUUAAAAAAGCAUAAAAUUAAAUUUACCAGGACUCAUCCAA